UUGAUCCUGGCUCAGAAUCAACGCUGGCGGCGUGCCUAACACAUGCAAGUCGAACGAGAAAGUGGAGCAAUCCAUGAGUAAAGUGGCGACCGGGUGAGUUACACGUGACUAACCUACCUUCGAGUGGGGGAUAACCUCGGGAAACCGGGUCUAAUACCGCAUAAUGCCUUCGGGUUAAAGGAGCAAUUCGCUUGAAGAGUGGGUCGCGGCUGAUUAGCUAGUUGGCGGGGUAACGGCCCACCAAGGCGAUGAUCGGUAGCCGGCCUGAGAGGGCGCACGGCCACACUGGAACUGAAACAUGGUCCAGACUCCUACGGGAGGCAGCAGUGGGGAAUUUUGCGCAAUGGGGUAAACCCUGACGCAGCAACGCCGCGUGGAGGAUAAAGUCCCUUGGGACGUUAACUCCUUUCGACCGGGACGAUAAUGACGGUACCGGUGGAAGAAGCCCCUGCUAACUUCGUGCCAGCAGCCGCGGUAAUU
Molecule: ribosomal RNA, 480 nt
Filed under: uncultured Acidobacteriota bacterium
Lineage: Bacteria; Pseudomonadati; Acidobacteriota
Description: bacterial SSU rRNA
Rfam family: Bacterial small subunit ribosomal RNA
Source: RNAcentral